This 74-nucleotide transfer RNA is filed under the name Dallia pectoralis (Alaska blackfish). RNAcentral's name for it is "tRNA-Ile". It matches the Rfam family "tRNA". Rfam says of the family: Transfer RNA (tRNA) molecules are approximately 80 nucleotides in length. Their secondary structure includes four short double-helical elements and three loops (D, anti-codon, and T loops). Further hydrogen bonds mediate the characteristic L-shaped molecular structure. tRNAs have two regions of fundamental functional importance: the anti-codon, which is responsible for specific mRNA codon recognition, and the 3' end, to which the tRNAs corresponding amino acid is attached (by aminoacyl-tRNA synthetases). tRNAs cope with the degeneracy of the genetic code in two manners: having more than one tRNA (with a specific anti-codon) for a particular amino acid; and 'wobble' base-pairing, i.e. permitting non-standard base-pairing at the 3rd anti-codon position. The record is from RNAcentral. Lineage: Eukaryota; Metazoa; Chordata; Actinopteri; Esociformes; Umbridae.
GCUCCUGCGGCGCAAUCGGUUAGCGCGCGGUACUUAUAAUGCCGAGGUUGUGAGUUCAAGCCUCACCAGGAGCA